UUCUUUACUAUGUUGGUUUUUUCAAGGAACCGUCGUUUGUAUUUUAAUACCACGACGGUUGGAUGGUUUAGUUAGAUUAAUUUAUUUUACUUUUGUACAAGCUAUCUUAUAUUUAUUUCUUUAUUUCUUGAAACAGGAUUUCUCAAAGCUUGACUUGGCAAGCUGAUAGAAAAUCAAUUGACGGUCAUGAUAAGGUCAUAAUUUCACACAUUUGCAUGCCUUCUUUGUUUAGUAAUUUUGUUUAGCUUCUCUUUAUUUUGAGUCUCUUACCUAUGUUUGUGUGUUUUGGAUGACAUUUGAUACAAUUCAUGCAUGUUAAGGGCUGAGUGGCACAAGAGGAAUAUGAUCUUAAAGACAAAACCAAUUUGAGCCACACUCCUUGUCAGUCCAGUUUCGUAGGUCAUCUUACAUGCAUCAUUUCAGUAACUUACACAGGUCGGAUGAGGAGACAUCCUUGAUAGAACUUGUUCAAAUGGGUGUCUAUUAUAACAUAUCCAAAUUUCAGCCCAAUUGGAUAAACCUAGAAAGUUCACAGAAAUGUCAUGUUGGUUGCCAUCACAUUUAAUGUGGCUACAUCCCUAGAGCCAUGUGCUACACAUGGGCAGCCACACAUGGGAGUCAAAUCAGCUCAGGAACUCAGAAGGAUGAACAAAAGUCAAGCUUUCCAUAAAGAAACCAUACCAAAGCAUGUAUUUGGCAGCUGGAGCAGUUGGCAAGUAUGGGCAACUAGAGCAAUUGGGAGCAGCUAAGAGAGGUGUGCUUCACCAGCCAAAGGGGAGGACGAAAUUGCACUCUAUAAAUAGAGAGUUUCACUUGGGUCAGACAGACACAUUCACUUCAUCCAUUACUCUCAUACACACAUUCAGAUUCACCACAAAGAGAUAAGGGAGCUUGGAGCUGUCAAGGGAGCUUGGAGCUGUCCUGGGA
This 927-nucleotide long non-coding RNA is filed under the name Prunus dulcis (almond). RNAcentral describes it as "sRNA ncRNA". Lineage: Eukaryota; Viridiplantae; Streptophyta; Magnoliopsida; Rosales; Rosaceae. The record is from RNAcentral.